RNAcentral lists this transfer RNA (74 nucleotides) under candidate division WWE3 bacterium RIFCSPLOWO2_01_FULL_53_14. Its description in RNAcentral is "tRNA-Glu". It matches the Rfam family "tRNA". Rfam says of the family: Transfer RNA (tRNA) molecules are approximately 80 nucleotides in length. Their secondary structure includes four short double-helical elements and three loops (D, anti-codon, and T loops). The record is from RNAcentral. Lineage: Bacteria; candidate division WWE3. RNAcentral also lists the same sequence under 3 other names.
GGCCCCGUCGUCUACCGGUAGGACAUUGGCUCUUCAAGCCAGUAAAACGGGUUCAAUUCCCGUCGGGGCCACCA